This 253-nucleotide ribosomal RNA is filed under the name uncultured bacterium. RNAcentral describes it as "partial 16S ribosomal RNA". It matches the Rfam family "Bacterial small subunit ribosomal RNA", at positions 524 to 776 of the family's 1533-position model. The record is from RNAcentral.
UACAGAGGUCCCAAGCGUUGUUCGGAUUCAUUGGGCGUAAAGGGUGCGUAGGCGGCGCGGUAAGUCGGGUGUGAAAUCUCGGAGCUUAACUCCGAAACUGCAUUCGAUACUGCCGUGCUUGAGGACUGGAGAGGAGACUGGAAUUUACGGUGUAGCGGUGAAAUGCGUAGAUAUCGUAAGGAAGACCAGCGGCGAAGGCGGGUCUCUGGACAGUUCCUGACGCUGAGGCACGAAGGUCAGGGGAGCAAACGGG